CCUACGGGAGGCAGCAGUGAGGAAUAUUGGUCAAUGGACGAGAGUCUGACCCAGCCAAGUAGCGUGAAGGAUGACUGCCCUAUGGGUUGUAAACUUCUUUUAUAAAGGAAUAAAACGAGGCACGUGUGCCUUUUUGCAUGUACUUUAUGAAUAAGGAUCGGCUAACUCCGUGCCAGCAGCCGCGGUAAUACGGAGGAUCCGAGCGUUAUCCGGAUUUAUUGGGUUUAAAGGGAGCGUAGAUGGGUUGUUAAGUCAGUUGUGAAAGUUUGCGGCUCAACCGUAAAAUUGCAAUUGAUACUGGCAGUCUUGAGUACAGUUGAGGUAGGCGGAAUUCGUGGUGUAGCAGUGAAAUGCUUAGAUAUCACGAAGAACCCCGAUUGCGAAGGCAGCUUACUAAACUGUGACUGACAUUGAUGCUCGAAAGUGUGGGUAUCAAACAGGAGUAGAUACCCCUGUAGUC
Molecule: ribosomal RNA, 460 nt
Filed under: uncultured bacterium
Lineage: Bacteria
Description: partial 16S ribosomal RNA
Rfam family: Bacterial small subunit ribosomal RNA
Source: RNAcentral